Phragmites australis (common reed) is the source of this 870-nucleotide RNA transcript. RefSeq lists it as uncharacterized. Lineage: Eukaryota; Viridiplantae; Streptophyta; Magnoliopsida; Poales; Poaceae. The record is from RefSeq and is a predicted model, not a curated record. The transcript has 5 exons.
UUACUCCCUUCCUCUAAAACCCUAUACCCAUCCACCGCCGCCGCCAACCCCUAUCACCUCCUCCUCCGAAACCCUAGCCAUGGCAUGGCGCGGCGCCGCCUCCCGCAUCGUCCUCGCCGCCGUGCGCCGCCCGACGUCCGCUGCGCGCCUCCGUGCCCCACCUCCGCUGGCUGCCCCGCGCCGCCGCGCCCCGUCCGCCUUCGCCACCUCCUCCGUCGCGGCCGCGCGGCCGCUGGCGGCGAUGAUGGGGUCGCCCGUGACAGUGGCGGCGGUGAUGGCGCGACUCACGGCGCACCCGGCGGCGAGCGCGCGGGCGUGCUGCGAGCUCUCCCAAGGGAAGAGUGGGAAAGAUGGUUGAUGUUGGAGGCUGCACAGCUUGACGGGGACCUUGUGUCCUAGAAAUAUUUGGGAUUUGUUAGGGAAUGGAAAAGAUGGGUGAUGCAAGGCCAGUAUACAGCAUGUCAAAGGUGCUGAUUUUGAAGCAUGCACUCCCUUUGGUACUUGAAGUCACCUUGUAGAUUCUGUCCUUUCGAAAGGAUGCAACUCUCCUUGGAUUUGUCUUUUGGAAAGCUAUUGUGGUGUUUCAUCAUUUUUAACUGCAAAGCCAGAAUGAUCGCUCCAGCAGUAGCCAGUUCCUCUUUUAUGUUUACUAGACUUAACUGAAAUAAUUUUUUAUGUUACAUGGCAUGGUGCCCAUGGAUUUAUUAUCUUUUCUUUUUUUUCGUUGUGCGAUAUCAUACUACUAUCUGCUGAUGUUGUGGUGUCAAUUUUUUUGAUUGACCUGAGCUAUAUGAUAUAUGUGUGACUGUCUUUGUAUAUCCGCAUCAGAUGUUUAAUAUGCAUCGUCAAUUGCUGAAUUUCCAGUUUGAA